GCAGUAGCCGCGGGAAUACGAAGGGGGCUAGCGUUGUUCGGAAUUACUGGGCGUAAAGCGUGCGUAGGCGGCUUCUUAAGUCGGAUGUGAAAUCCCUGAGCUUAACUUAGGAAUUGCAUUCGAUACUGGGAAGCUAGAGUAUGGGAGAGGAUGGUAGAAUUCCAGGUGUAGCGGUGAAAUGCGUAGAGAUCUGGAGGAAUACCGAUGGCGAAGGCAGCCAUCUGGCCUAAUACUGACGCUGAGGUACGAAAGCAUGGGGAGCAAACAGGAUUAGAUACCCCAGUAGUCCCUGUCUCUUAUAC
RNAcentral lists this ribosomal RNA (302 nucleotides) under uncultured bacterium. RNAcentral's name for it is "partial 16S ribosomal RNA". It matches the Rfam family "Bacterial small subunit ribosomal RNA", at positions 508 to 807 of the family's 1533-position model. The record is from RNAcentral.